AUGCUUUACAGCUUAGAACCGGGGCUCCAAAAGCGUUUUGAGCAUCACGGAGCAUAUGAGAUGUUCGAAGAGCUGAAACUAGUUUUCCAAGCUCAUGCCCGGGUCGAGAGAUAUGAUGUCUCCGACAAGUUCUACAGUUGUAAGAUGGAGGAAAACAGUUCUGUCAGUGAGCACAUCCUGAAGAUGUCUGGGUUGCACAACCGUAUGACCCAGCUGAACAUUAACCUCCCAGAUGAGGCGGUCAUUGACAGAAUCCUCCAGUCGCUCCCACCAAGCUACAAGAGCUUUGUGAUGAACUACAACAUGCAGGGGAUGGUGAAGACCAUUCCUGAAGUGUUCUGA
RNAcentral lists this ribosomal RNA (342 nucleotides) under Triticum aestivum (bread wheat). RNAcentral's name for it is "partial small subunit ribosomal RNA". Lineage: Eukaryota; Viridiplantae; Streptophyta; Magnoliopsida; Poales; Poaceae. The record is from RNAcentral.